Molecule: long non-coding RNA, 592 nt
Filed under: Malus domestica (apple)
Lineage: Eukaryota; Viridiplantae; Streptophyta; Magnoliopsida; Rosales; Rosaceae
Description: long non-coding RNA (MDOM_LNC011217)
Source: RNAcentral
GCCCCCGGUGAACAUUCCUAUGCCGAUGACCGAGGGUUUGAUCAAGUGUGGCUAUCAUGAUCUGAAACCCAACAUCUUUAGGGGGAACCACCUCCUUGAUCGGGGUCUCUAGGGGAAGCUGGGAAGCCACCUUCUCCAAAACGGUCUGGCCCUUCUCCACCAUGGUGGACUAGAAAAAUGAAAAAAAAUAAAAAAUUAAUAUGAAUGUACAUGUAAUUAAUAUUAAUACUAAUUGAAUAUUAAAAAUUUUAAAUCACUUACAUGAAGCUGCUUCGUCAGCUCAUCCCUGGCCAAGCGUACACCUCUUUAAACAUGUCAAUUUCAAAAAACUUUGACCCCCCUAAAAAAAUUUAAAAAGUGUUAACAUAGAUUACCAAUUGUGUAAUAAAGAGUAAAAGGAUUGAAAACUUAAAAUAAAUAUAUGGUUACCUUAUGUCGCUCCUCCAACCUAUAAGAGAAGUGUCGUGAGCCGGAUUGGUGAAUAAGUUUCUUCUUCAACCGAUUGAUCAAGUUUGUCUUCACUUUUUCUGUUGAAUUAAAAAAAAAAGUAUUAGUUUAGAUAUUUAUACCAAAUGAAUGAAAAAAUGAUUUU